Small nucleolar RNA from Erinaceus europaeus (western European hedgehog), 130 nucleotides. Lineage: Eukaryota; Metazoa; Chordata; Mammalia; Eulipotyphla; Erinaceidae. The record is from Ensembl.
GAAGCACUUUCACAGGCCGUCCCCUAGAUCAUGGGGAUAGGACUUGGUAGCUGGUGCUGAAAGGAAAUCCUUGAUUGCAUUCUUGGCCUGAGUCUGUGCCAGUGGCAGCUGUCCGCUUGAUGGGACACAA